This 420-nucleotide ribosomal RNA is filed under the name uncultured eukaryote. RNAcentral describes it as "SSU rRNA". It matches the Rfam family "Eukaryotic small subunit ribosomal RNA", at positions 592 to 1018 of the family's 1831-position model. The record is from RNAcentral.
CAAUAGCGUAUAUUAAAGUUGUUGCGGUUAAAAAGCUCGUAGUUGGAUUUCUGUCGAGGGCGUCCGGUCCGCACUUCGUGCGUGUAUCUGGCUCGGCCUCGGCAUCCUCUCGAUAGACGUUUCGCGCUUCAUUGCGUGGAGCGGAUCUCGGGACUUUUACUUUGAGGAAAUUAGAGUGUUCACGGCAGGCUAUCGCCAGAAUACAUUAGCAUGGAAUAAUACUAUAGGAUCUCGUGUCUAUUUUGUUGGUUUCUAGAGACGAGUUAAUGAUUAAUAGGGACAAUUGGGGGCAUUCGUAUCAACACGUCAGAGGUGGAAUUCUUGGAUUGUGUUGCGACGAACUACUGCGAAAGCAUUUGCCAAGGAUGUUUUCAUUGAUCAAGAACGAAAGUAAGGGGAUCGAAGAUGAUCAGAUACCAU